RNAcentral lists this long non-coding RNA (823 nucleotides) under Monodelphis domestica (gray short-tailed opossum). RNAcentral's name for it is "lncRNA (ENSMODG00000046674.1)". The record is from RNAcentral. Lineage: Eukaryota; Metazoa; Chordata; Mammalia; Didelphimorphia; Didelphidae.
GAAGGGAAUGGGAGAUGAUCAUCCAUCGAUAGUACCAAAGAGACAGACACUCGGAUUUUGACAAAAUCAGUGGAUCAAAAGGGAAGAAGAAAUCAAAGUGAAGAGGAGGAGAGAAGAAUAAUAGAGAGAUACAAGAGAUGGAGGCUUGCCCAAUGGGGUAGCAGAGUUCAAUCACUAGACAGCAGGCAACAGGAGAGAAGAGGGUUUUCUUGGUAAAGAUACUGGAGUGAUUUGCCAUUUCUUUCUCCAGGUCAUUUUACAGUUGACUAAAAUAAGGCAGCCAUGAUUAAGUGAUUUGCCCAGAGUCGAAGUCACCUAAAGAACACGGAGGGUGGACAGCGCCUACCAUGGGAAGAUACCAAGGAAUUCUCAUCAUCUUUCAUCUGGCUGCUUUCCUGGACUUUAUCAUUUCAAGAAACUCAUUAUUCUGCAAGAUGAAAUCUACUCUCAAACUCUCAUCUCCUCAGAUUAUUUCCUACUCCAGCUGCAGGACUUUAUCAUGCCUCCACUUUGGGGACCAUCUGCCCUACUGCUUUCCUGGUAGGCCACUGGGCUUUAACAUCUGUUCUACCACUGAACCUUUCUGACCAUGGAAACCCUGUCAUCUUUCCUGAUGCUGUACCCUCUAGAACUCUGGGCAUUUCCACCUUCCCAGAACUUGGAAGACCACAGAUCCUUUCCACUUCCACUUCACCUGAAUCUUCCUCUAUGGAUUGUGUCUAUCAGUACAAAGUGAGCUCUUUGAGGGGCUCUCACUUUUCUAGUGGUAUCUUCAGUGUUUUGUACACAGUAAAUGUUCAACAAAUGCUUUUUUGUUCCUUUC